This 3884-nucleotide long non-coding RNA is filed under the name Daphnia pulex (common water flea). Its description in RNAcentral is "uncharacterized LOC124192268, transcript variant X8". The record is from RNAcentral. Lineage: Eukaryota; Metazoa; Arthropoda; Branchiopoda; Diplostraca; Daphniidae.
CUCGCUGUUUUCCCAAUCGCGAAGGCAUGUUUUUGACCAUGCCAAUGGUUAUGGCUCGGACACUGAGGCCAUCUGUGGCGGCCAUAUUUGUUUUCAAUUUUGGGGCAUAGGCAAGCCCUUUAGCCCCUACCUUCUUCUUGCUUCCCUGUCAGUUGAAGCGUGGGUUUUGAGAGUAAGGACGCCAUUUAAAUUCGUUGGUUUUUAAAGAGUCAACUAGUUUCAUGUAAAUUUGUGUUUGAACAAUAGCUAUCAGAUAAUGUUGCUCAAUAAUAUUUGGGGUAACUAUUUGUUCGUCUGCAGGGAGUGCAGGCCGUGUGCAAUUGGACAUUGGACUGAUUGUCGGAGUGCAAAGUGCCAACCGCCUAGAUUUUGUCAGACUGAAUGAAAAUCUCCUUACAAUUAAAAUAACAACACGGUUAAUGAGGAUUUGUUGUUUGUAAAUUGUUAGCUGCUGUCACCUCUGGUUUUAGUUCAUUUGUGUUUCUUGAUUUGAGGUUAAUCCCUCAAAGCUGUGUUGUGGACUGGUUUCUUACAGCACUAUUUGUUGCGUGCCUGAGAUCGCAAGUAGGCCGCCUACGUCAAUAAUCUAAAACACAGUGUGUUUAUUAAGUGGUCCUGGCACGGAGAUCCUUGAGUCAAUGCUGGCCUUUGUCCAUGAGAGAAGAGUGACUUUACGCCCUGUAACUACCCAACAAGAAGUCGCUGGGCACUCGCAGUCAAGAGGAACUACGCAACCUUCCACGGCAGUUGCAGACCCCCCAAGAUCAAUCCUGGUCGUUCCUUGAGCCCGAUGAAAAGCAAGUCCCUGACUAUUAUCAGAUCUUCAAGGAUUGCAUGGUCUUUGGUUGAGACCCGGAUUGCAGAGAGACGUUAUCAAUGACUUGUGAAGUUUAUUAUCCACAUCGCCAAGAUUACCCCUUUAUUUAAUAUUGGGACAAAUAUCAUCCGCCGUCUGCUUUAUUCUCUUUACUUUGUGGAUGAUGGAGAAAGAGUCGUACACUCGUACGUUAAACUGUUUAAAAUUAAAUUUAGAUUUCAACCUGCAGACGGACCGGCCAGUUAGCAUGUCCUUCACGCUUGAAGGUCGAGGGAAACAUUGUGUAAAACUGUCAACGCGGUGGUGUAGAGGUUGGGUGAGCUGGACGUGUUGCAUCAUUUUCAGCAGACCCAACCCCAGCAACGUCAACCUAAAGAAGGAAAGGCCAGUUUGCAUUUCCUUCACUUUAGAAGGCCACGGUGAUCAUUACGUAAAACUGUCAAUGCGGUGGUGUAGAGGUUGGGUGAGGAGUGAGGACGACACGUGUAACAUCAUUAUCAAGAGAGAGAAAAGUCGACAAGGAUCAGUCGAACGAGUAUCUCCGACACGGUAACAACUUCAGCGCACUAUUGGUCACCAGCUGCAUUCUUCAUCGUGUCAUCAGUUCGCAAUCAUAAUAAACUAUGGCGUUGUGCUACUGUUGGGCGUUGAAUCGCUGACGGUUGUGUCGACCACUGGUGUACCGAUGUCUCCUGGUCAUAUCGAAGCACAACAUUGCUGUCUUAAUACUCAUCAUCAACCAAUGCUGCUCCAGCUUACACCACCAAGGCUUCAGAGUAUUACAAGUUGCAUUAAAGGAGAGAAAAGGUUUUUCCGACACGACAACAACUUCCGCGCACAAUUUGUCACCAACUGCCUUCUUCAUCGUAUAAAGCGUAAACUGUGGUGUCGUGCUGCUGUUGGUUGCUGUCCUGAAAUACUACACCACCGAGGCUUCGGAGUAUUAUACUACAAUUUAUGCUGCCGCGAGAUGCAUCACUGAAGAGACCGAGUACUACAUGACCCACCCCCAGCAACGUCCAAUUUGCAUGUCCUUCACGCUUGAAGGUCGCGGAGAUCAUUACGAAAAUUUGUCAAUGCGGUGGUGUAAGGUUGGGUGAGAACAGAAAGUGUUUGCUUUAUUAUCGAGCAGGUAUAAUAGUCGUAGGGCUUAAGAGAGGGGUCAGGGUGAGAAAAAUUCGUAUAAAUGGCAAGAGAAAAGUCGAUAGGGAUCAGUCGAGUGAAUACCUCCAUCACGGCAACAACUGCAGCCCACUACUAUUUGUCACCAACUGCCUUCUUCAUUGUACAACCAGUUCGCAAUCAUAGUUAACUCUGGCGCCGUGCUGCUGUUUGGUGUUGUAUCGUUGAAGGUUGGGUCGACCACGGGUUUACUGAUGUCUUCUGGUCAUGGUGGAGACCAAGCAACAGCAGUGACAGAAUACUACACCACGCCGUCGCCUUACUACGAAACGAAGUCAACAUACGCAACAUCUACUAACAACACCGAGGCCCCCCCCCCCCCAAGUGCACACCACCAAUGCUCAAGAGUUACGCUACAAAUUACGCUGCCCCGAGUUACAUCACCAAAGCGCCUGAGUACUACAUCACCGAGGCACUGCAACUGAGGCGGCGAAGUACUACGUAGCCCAAGCUUACAACACUGCAGCUGCUCCUUCAUACUACGUUGAACUGAAACUUCACCAAGGCUGCAGUUAACUACACCACAACCUACGCUACACCUAGCUACUAUGACGAAGCCCCAAACUACUACACCGAAGAGGCCACAUGUUACACAUCAACGUACAGUGCCCCAGUUUACUACACCGAGGAACCCAAGUAUUACUCUGCUCCAAGCUACUACCAAACUGAGGCUCCUGUUUGCUAUACCAAGGCCACCGAGUAUUACACUACAACCAAACGUUAACUAUGGGGUCGUACUGCUGUUGGUUGUAUUAUCCUUGAUGGCUGGGUUGACCACUGGUGAACCGAUGUCUCCUGGGUAUGGCGGAUACCAAACCGCAACGCCGGCGUCAUACCACAAAACAACAUACGCAGCAAUCGGAUACUACACCCCCAAAGCCCUAGAGUAUUACACCAUAAAUUAUUAUGUCCCGAACUUCUACACCGAAGCUUCAAAGUUAAACUCAGCCCCGAGUUAAACCACCAAGGCAGCGGAGUACUACACCACCAAGGCAGCGGAGUACUACACCACCAAGGCAGCGGAGUACUACACCACCAAGGCAGCGGAGUACUACACCACCAAGGCAGCGGAGUACUACACCACCAAGGCAGCGGAGUACUACACCACCAAGGCAGCGGAGUACUACACCACCAAGGCAGCGGAGUACUACACCACCAAGGCAGCGGAGUACUACACCACCAAGGCAGCGGAGUACUACACCACCAAGGCAGCGGAGUACUACACCACCAAGGCAGCGGAGUACUACACCACCAAGGCAGCGGAGUACUACACCACUUCGUAUGCUGCCCAGCCUCUUACACCGAGACUCUUAAGUACUACUCCGUUCCCAGCUACUAUUCCGAUGCUCCAGCUUAUUACGCCACUAAAGCGGUCAAAUGCUACACCGGAAAUACUUCUCUGCCCAGAAUUACUACACAGCGGCUGUUCCUUCGUACUACGUUGAGCAGAAACACUGCACUGAGGCUCAAGUUUACUACACUACAACUUACGCUACACCUAGGUACUACACCGAAGUCCCUAAGUACUACACCAAAGAGGCUGCAUAUUACACAACUCACGCUGCUCUCAGCUGCUACACUGAAGCUCUCAAGUACCACUCUACCAAGGGACCUGAGUAUUAUACCAUUACUUACGCUGAUCUGACCUGCUACACCGAAGAUCCGAAGUAUUCUACUGCCCGACUUACUACACCACUAAGGCACCUGGAUAUUACGUCACAACCUAUGCUUCUCCAGUUUACUACAGGGAGGUUCUUAAAUUCUAGAGCCGAAAUUUAUGUUUUGUUUAAAUUUGUUCAGAUUUCUCGGCUAUGUCAAAAUAGUAACUAGUCACUUGGAAUGAUGUUGAUCACUUAAAUGAGCGAAUACAUUUUUUAAUGGUAAA